RNAcentral lists this ribosomal RNA (464 nucleotides) under uncultured bacterium. Its description in RNAcentral is "partial 16S ribosomal RNA". It matches the Rfam family "Bacterial small subunit ribosomal RNA", at positions 28 to 507 of the family's 1533-position model. The record is from RNAcentral.
GACGAACGCUGGCGGCGUGCUUAACACAUGCCAGUCGAACGAUGAAGCCAGCUUGCUGGUGGAUUAGUGGCGAACGGGUGAGUAACACGUGGGUGAUCUGCCCCAAACUUUGGGAUAAGCCUGGGAAACUGGGUCUAAUACCGAAUAUGACCGAUACUCGCAUGGGUGUUGGUGGAAAGCUCCGGCGGUUUGGGAUGGGCCCGCGGCCUAUCAGCUUGUUGGUGGGGUAAUGGCCUACCAAGGCGACGACGGGUAGCCGGCCUGAGAGGGCGACCGGCCACACUGGGACUGAGACACGGCCCAGACUCCUACGGGAGGCAGCAGUGGGGAAUAUUGCACAAUGGGCGCAAGCCUGAUGCAGCGACGCCGCGUGAGGGAUGACGGCCUUCGGGUUGUAAACCUCUUUCACCAGGGACGAAGCGAAAGUGACGGUACCUGGAGAAGAAGCACCGGCCAACUACGUG